RNAcentral lists this ribosomal RNA (221 nucleotides) under uncultured bacterium. Its description in RNAcentral is "partial 16S ribosomal RNA". It matches the Rfam family "Bacterial small subunit ribosomal RNA", at positions 524 to 744 of the family's 1533-position model. The record is from RNAcentral.
UACGAAGGGUGCAAGCGUUACUCGGAAUUACUGGGCGUAAAGCGUGCGUAGGUGGUUUGUUAAGUCUGAUGUGAAAGCCCUGGGCUCAACCUGGGAAUUGCAUUGGAUACUGGCAGGCUAGAGUGCGGUAGAGGAUGGCGGAAUUCCCGGUGUAGCAGUGAAAUGCGUAGAGAUCGGGAGGAACAUCUGUGGCGAAGGCGGCCAUCUGGACCAGCACUGAC